CAGCUAUGGGGUCACCACAGCCCCAUAGACAGCUAUGGGGACACCACAACCCCAUGGACAGCUAUGGGGACAUCACAGCCCCAUAGACAGCCAUGGGGACACCGCAGCCCCAUAGACAGCCAUGGGGACACCGUGACCCCAUUGACAGCCAUAGGGACACCGCAGCCCCAUAGACAGCCAUGGGGACACUGUGACCCCAUAGACAGCCAUGGGGACACCACAGCCCCAUAGACAGCCAUGGGGACACCACAGCCCCAUAGACAGCUAUGGGGACAUCACAGCCCCAUAGACAGCCAUGGGGACAUCACAGCCCCAUUUAUGGCCAUGGGAUAACUGUGACCCCAUAGACAGCCAUGGGGACAUCACAGCCCCAUAGGCAGCCAUGGGGACAUCACAGCCCCAUUUAUGGCCAUGGGGACACUGCAACCCCACUGAUGGCUAUGGGGACAUCACAGCCCCAUUGAAAGCCAUGGGGUAACUGUGACCCCAUAGACAGCCAUGGGGACACAUGGGCAGGAAAACAACCCCAUAGCAGCCCCAUAGAUUCACAUACAAUGGGGCCGUGCCAUGGAGGUGAGUGAACAGCUACAGCCCCAGGGCCAGGGAGAGCAGGUUCUCCCUCCUUAACCCUAUUACCCUAAUGAGUGCCCCUAAUUACCCUAAUGAGUGAGUGCCCCUAAUUACCCUAAUGAGUGAGUGCCCCUAAUUACCCUAAUGAGUGAGUGCCCCUAAUUACCCUAAUUAGUGCCCUGGGGUGCCCUCAUUGCCACGUGGCACCGCCUGCCCCAAAACCGCAGCCAUGGGUCAAUGGGGACGGCUAUGGGUCAAUGGGGACGGCUAUGGGGCAAUGGGGACGGCUAUGGGUCAGUGGGAUGGCUAUGGGUCAAUGGGACGGCUAUGGGUCAAUGGGACGGCUAUGGGUCAGUGGGAUGGUCUAUGGGUCAAUGGGACGGCUAUGUGGUCAGUGGGAAUGGCUAUGGGGCAAUGGGACGGUCUAUAGGGGCAAUGGGACGGCUAUUGGGGUCAGUGGGAUGGCUUAUGGGUCAGUGGGAUGGCGUUAUGGGGCAAAGGGGACAGGCUAAUGGGCAGUGGGGGACGGCUAUGGGUCAAGUGGCGGACGGCUUAUGGGGCAUGGGGACGGCUAUGGGGCAAUGGGGACGGCUAUGGGGCAAUGGGGACGGCUAUGGGGCAAUGGGGAUGGCUAUGGUCAUAUGGGGGGCGCAAAUCAACCCCCCUACUCCCACCCCUCCGCACGUCCCUCGCUCUAUCAC
This 1271-nucleotide long non-coding RNA is filed under the name Coturnix japonica (Japanese quail). RNAcentral describes it as "lncRNA (ENSCJPG00005001869.1)". Lineage: Eukaryota; Metazoa; Chordata; Aves; Galliformes; Phasianidae. The record is from RNAcentral.